Molecule: transfer RNA, 82 nt
Filed under: Eubacterium brachy ATCC 33089
Lineage: Bacteria; Bacillati; Bacillota; Clostridia; Peptostreptococcales; Anaerovoracaceae
Rfam family: tRNA
About the family: Transfer RNA (tRNA) molecules are approximately 80 nucleotides in length. Their secondary structure includes four short double-helical elements and three loops (D, anti-codon, and T loops). Further hydrogen bonds mediate the characteristic L-shaped molecular structure. tRNAs have two regions of fundamental functional importance: the anti-codon, which is responsible for specific mRNA codon recognition, and the 3' end, to which the tRNAs corresponding amino acid is attached (by aminoacyl-tRNA synthetases). tRNAs cope with the degeneracy of the genetic code in two manners: having more than one tRNA (with a specific anti-codon) for a particular amino acid; and 'wobble' base-pairing, i.e. permitting non-standard base-pairing at the 3rd anti-codon position.
Source: Rfam by way of RNAcentral
GCGACCGUGGUGGAAUCGGCAGACACGCUGUCUUGAGGGGGCAGUGAGGCAACUCGUAUGGGUUCAAAUCCCAUCGGUCGCA